AAUGCUUGUCUGUAGCUGGUUGAAAUUGGGCCAAAUUAGAAAAAGGUCAAGCAUUUGGUCCCCUUCAACCAGCUGUAGUUGGCAGAACAA
This 90-nucleotide microRNA precursor is filed under the name Lottia gigantea (owl limpet). RNAcentral describes it as "mir-133 microRNA precursor family". The stretch from base 7 to 81 matches the Rfam family "mir-133 microRNA precursor family". Rfam says of the family: mir-133 was first experimentally characterised in mouse and homologues have since been discovered in several other species. Lineage: Eukaryota; Metazoa; Mollusca; Gastropoda; Lottiidae. The record is from RNAcentral.